This 257-nucleotide long non-coding RNA is filed under the name Nicotiana benthamiana. RNAcentral's name for it is "long non-coding RNA (NBEN_LNC007659)". The record is from RNAcentral. Lineage: Eukaryota; Viridiplantae; Streptophyta; Magnoliopsida; Solanales; Solanaceae.
AACUAUCUCAAAACUAUGUUGUUUUGCUCAAUUGCAAUCAAAUCUAAAAAUUCAGAAAAAUUGAUGUUUUUUGGUUGUUGUAUUGUAUCAUCUGUGAUACUGUCGAGUGGUGGGUAAUGUAGUGACCAAAAAGACUUGUUAACAGAAGAGAGGAAGCAAUAGUUAUCAUGGUGAUUCUAAGUAAAUGGAAUUUCACUACCACAUUAGAAUACAUUCAACAGAAUGAGCACGCACAGUGCUGAUACCACACCUUGAAU